GCUCCUCUGGAUUGUGACAUUCUUUCAGCCUUUCCUUGUUGUUGUUGAACUGGAACACUUUGAGAAGGAGAGUAUUUUGUAAAAUUUCCCUCAGUUGGGACAUGUCUGUCGUUUAUCUCAUGAUUGAACUGUUUUUGUGGAUUAUAUACAGAGAUAUGCUGCCAUUUUUAUUAUAUCAUAUAAAGGAUAGAUACUAUCACAUGAUUUAUCACUCUUGGUAUCGAUCUGAUCAUCUUGCUAAGGUUUUUCAUAAUAUAUUUGUAGAAGGAAGUUACUACGUGUAUUGCACACAUAAGAGUGGGAAGCUAUGCUCAUGAACUUGACGGUGGAAUGUCUGCACAAAUUCUUUGAAAUUCUUCUACAUGGGAGAUUUCUCUUCCCUCCAGACUGUUGUGCCCAAGAUUGCGAAUCUGAGAAACCACCGAGAAGCUGACA
Canis lupus familiaris (dog) is the source of this 435-nucleotide long non-coding RNA. RefSeq lists it as uncharacterized. The record is from RefSeq and is a predicted model, not a curated record. NCBI's taxonomy places the organism in Eukaryota, Metazoa, Chordata, Mammalia, Carnivora, Canidae. The transcript has 3 exons.